GAUGAACGCUGGCGGCGUGCCUAAUACAUGCAAGUCGAGCGAACGGACGAGAAGCUUGCUUCUCUGCUGUUAGCGGCGGAUGGGUGAGUAACACGUGGAUAACUUACCUAUAAGACUGGGAUAACUUCGGGAAACCGGAGAUCAUAUCGGAUAAUAUUUUGAACCGCAUGAUUCAAAAGAGAAAGACGGUCUUGAUGUCACUUAUAGAUGGAUCCGCGCUGGAUUAGCUAGUUGGUAAGGUAACGGCUUACCAAGGCAACGAUGCAUAGCCGACCUGAGAGGGUGAUCGGCCACACUGGAACUGAGACACGGUCCAGACUCCUACGGGAGGCAGCAGUAGGGAAUCUUCCGCAAUGGGCGAAAGCCUGACGGAGCAACGCCGCGUGAGUGAUGAAGGUCUUCGGAUCGUAAAGCUCUGUUAUUAGGGAAGAACAUAUGUGUAAGUAACUGUGCACAUCUUGACGGUACCUAAUCAGAAAGCCACGGCUAACUACGUG
This 497-nucleotide ribosomal RNA is filed under the name uncultured bacterium. RNAcentral describes it as "partial 16S ribosomal RNA". It matches the Rfam family "Bacterial small subunit ribosomal RNA", at positions 28 to 507 of the family's 1533-position model. The record is from RNAcentral.